This 1125-nucleotide long non-coding RNA is filed under the name Lonchura striata (white-rumped munia). RNAcentral's name for it is "domestica (Bengalese finch) lncRNA (ENSLSDG00000013759.1)". Lineage: Eukaryota; Metazoa; Chordata; Aves; Passeriformes; Estrildidae. The record is from RNAcentral.
UCUCCGUAACAAAUGUGGAGGGAGAAGAAAUUAAUUAAAAUACAUCCUGUGCUACAGCCUCCAGAAACAGGCAAGUCUUGCAGAAUGCAGGCAGCGAAGUUAGAAUGAGAAUAGCCCACCAUGGCCCAGAGGCAGCAGCAGGGACCCUGAACCCCUCCUGGGCACAGGAAGGAGCAGGGACAGUGCGUCACCAGUGGUGCUUUCAGUGCCAUUUAACGUGACUUGUGCUUCCCAGGCCACCAAAGGCCCCCAGGCGGGAUCAGGCCAAGCCAGUCACCCUAGUCACCCCUGCUCUGCCUGGCCCGAGUGCUCCCGGCCUGCCCGGGCUGAGGCCUCGGGGGGCGGGAGUGCAGCAGCUGCACACGGGGCCGGGGUCCCGGGCCGGGCCGGUCCCCUCGGCCCCGCUCUGUCCCCUCGGCCCCGCUCUGUCCCCUCGGCCCCGCUCUGUCCCCUCAGUCCCGCUCUGUCCCCCUCAGCCCCGUUCUGUCCCCUCAGUCCCGCUCUGUCCCCUCAGUCCCGUUCUGUCCCCUCAGUCCCGCUCAGUCCCCUCAGUCCCGUUCUGUCCCCUCAGUCCCCCUCCGUCCCCUCAGUCCCGCUCUGUCCCCCUCGGUCCCGCUCCGUCCCCCUCUGUCCCCUCAGCCCCGCUCUGUCCCGCGGCCCCGGGCCCGGCUCGGCCGGGACUUGUUCCCGUCCCGACUUCUCGCGAGAGAACGCGCGGUGGCGUCACGCGCCGCGGAGGCCGCCCUCGCGCGCGCGCGCUCGUUCGCACGCCGCCGCCGUAUCCUUCCGCGCGCUCCCCCUCCCCCUUCUGGAGAGUUCUGCACGGCGGCCGGCACGACAAAUAGUCCCCGCGGCUCCCCGCCCUCUCCUCCCUCUCCCGCUCCUCCUCCUCCCGCCGCUCAGGUCCUGGCCUCUCCCUUCCUUCCCCUCCCCGCCACGGCGGCGUCUCCGCCCCGGGAACCGGAGCGGUGCCCGGGGGCAGCGGCGGCGGCGGCGGCGGGGCGGAGUGAUCCGCUGCGGAACGACGCGGAGGCAGCGCAUAAAGCGGCGGCGGCGGCGGAGGGAACGGAGGAGCUGCGGCAGCGCUGAGCCCGCGGCCGCCACCGCCCGACACCGGCCCGGCCC